AAUCGAACGUGGAGAUAGCUGGUUCUCCCCGAAAUAGCUUUAGGGCUAGCCUCAGGGAAAAGAUUGCAGGCGGUAGAGCACUGAUCAGGAGAGGGACCUACCCGGUUACCAAACCCAGUCAAACUCCGAAUGGCUGCAAUCAUACCUGGGAGUCAGACUGCGACUAAUAAGGGCCGUAGUCAAAAGGGAAACAGCCCAGACCAUCAGCUAAGGUCCCCAAUGCCGUGCUAAGUGGCGAAGGAUGUGGCAUUUCAUAAACAACCAGGAUGUUGGCUCAGAAGCAGCCACCAUUUAAAGAGUGCGUAAUAGCUCACUGGUCGAGAGACGCUGCGCCGAAAAUGUCCGGGGCUCAAGCACGGAACCGAAGCUAUGGCAUGAUAGCAAUAUCAUGGGUAGGGGAGCGUUCUUAUAAGGAAGAAGCAUGACCGGAAGGACAUGUGGACGAAUAAGAAGUGAGAAUGCCGGUAUGAGUAUCGAAAAGAAAGGUGAGAAUCCUUUCCACCGAAAGCCCGAGGGUUCCUGAGCAACGAUCGUCGACUCAGGGUAAGUCGGGACCUAAGCCGAGGCGAGAAGCGUAGGCGAUGGACAACAGGUUGAAAUUCCUGUACCGGAUCAAGUCGAUCGAGCGAAGGAGCGACGCAGGAGGGCACAUGAUCGCGCGGCUGGAAGAGCGCGUCCAAGUGCGUAUGUUGCAGCAGAGGAAAACCCCUGCAGCUAAAAGCAGAGACAUGAUGGGGAGUUAAAGGAAACUUUGACGAACUCAUGGAUCCCACACUGCCAAGAAAAACUUCUAGCGAGACAAGAUCCGCCCGUACCGUAAACCGACACAGGUAGGCGGGGAGAGAAUCCUAAGGUGCGCGGGAAAACCCUCGUUAAGGAACUCGGCAAAUUGCAUCCGUAACCUAGGGAGAAGGAUGGCCCCCGGUCAGUGAAGAGCAGAAACGCUCAGAGCUAAAAGGGGCGGCAGAAAAGAGGCCCAAGCAACUGUUUACCAAAAACACAGGUGCCUGCGAAAGCGAAAGCUGAAGUAUAGGUGCUGACGCCUGCCCGGUGCCGGAAGGUUAAGGAGAGAAGUUAGCGAAAGCGAAGCAUCGAACUGAAGCCCCGGUGAACGGCGGCCGUAACUAUAACGGUCCUAAGGUAGCGAAAUUCCUUGUCGGGUAAGUUCCGACCCGCACGAAAGGCGUAACGAUUUGGGCACUGUCUCAACGAGGGACCCGGUGAAAUUGAAAUACCUGUGAAGAUGCAGGUUACCCGCGACUGGACAGAAAGACCCCAUGGAGCUUUACUGCAGCUUGAGAUUGAAUCUCGGAAGUAGAUGCACAGGAUAGGUGGGAGGCGCCGAAGCAUUGCCCUAGGGCGGUGCGGAGCCGAUGUUGGGAUACCACCCUUCUGUUGCUGAGAUUCUAACGCGAGGAGUAACGACCCUGCGGACCCUCUCAGGCAGGCGGUUUGACUGGGGCGGUCGCCUCCGAAAGAGUAACGGAGGCGCCCAAAGGUUCCCUCAGGCCGGACAGAAACCGGCCGAAGAGUGCAAAGGCAGAAGGGAGCUUGACUGCGAGACCAACAAGUCGAGCAGGGACGAAAGUCGGGCUUAGUGAUCCGGUGGUACCGAGUGGAAGGGCCAUCGCUCAACGGAUAAAAGCUACCCUGGGGAUAACAGGCUAAUCUCUCCCAAGAGUCCAUAUCGACGGGGAGGUUUGGCACCUCGAUGUCGGCUCAUCACAUCCUGGGGCUGAAGUAGGUCCCAAGGGUUGGGCUGUUCGCCCAUUAAAGUGGUACGCGAGCUGGGUUCAAAACGUCGUGAGACAGUUUGGUUCAUAUCCAUCGCGGGCGCAAGAAGUUUGAGAGGAGCUGCUCCUAGUACGAGAGGACCGGAGUGGACGGAUCAACGGUGUCCCAGUUGUCACGCCAGUGGCACGGCUGGAAAGCCGCAUCCGGGAAGGAUAAACGCUGAAAGCAUCUAAGCGCGAAGCCAACCUCAAGAUGAGACUUCU
Molecule: ribosomal RNA, 1997 nt
Filed under: human oral metagenome
Description: bacterial LSU rRNA
Rfam family: Bacterial large subunit ribosomal RNA
Source: RNAcentral